Molecule: long non-coding RNA, 440 nt
Organism: Xenia sp. Carnegie-2017
Lineage: Eukaryota; Metazoa; Cnidaria; Anthozoa; Malacalcyonacea; Xeniidae
Exons: 2
Source: RefSeq, a predicted model, not a curated record
UUGCUUUUUCCUUCUUGAUCAUUGAGGCAGGCCUUAUGUGGAUUAAAAGAUGCAAUGCACACUCAGAAUACAGUGUUAUUUAAGCGAAUUGAAUAUAUUCAUUCAACUUUACCAUUGGCAUGUGAUAAAUGCAAAGAUACAUACAUAUAUACUCAAUGAUGGAGAACUUGCUUUUGCUCUUACCAUAUAUCAUCACAAACAUUAAAAUUAAACUGCACAAUAUUUCACUAAAGAAUUUACGAGAGUUGCUACAAAUUAAACUUCUAAAAUAGAUUUUCAUGUUCUUACGUCAUCAACGUCAUUCCCAGUAGUGAAGUAUGAAUUAUUAUAAUUUAAAAUAUUUUUUAUUGACCAAGGAUGUAUUUAAUUUACUAUAAUUGCACUGUUGUCAUAUUAUCCAUUCAUUACUGUGAGAUAAACACAUUGCAGUUACAUGGAAA